GGCAGUGGGGGGCAUCUUACCAUGCAGUCGACGCUGAAGCUUGGGUGCUUGCAUCUGGGUGGAUGAGUGGCGAACGGGUGAGUAAUACGUGAGUAACCUGCCCUUGACUCUGGGAUAAGCCUGGGAAACUGGGUCUAAUACUGGAUACUACAUUCUCUCGCAUGGGGGUGUGUGGAAAGGGUUUUACUGGUUUUGGAUGGGCUCACGGCCUAUCAGCUUGUUGGUGGGGUAAUGGCCUACCAAGGCGACGACGGGUAGCCGGCCUGAGAGGGUGACCGGCCACACUGGGACUGAGACACGGCCCAGACUCCUACGGGAGGCAGCAGUGGGGAAUAUUGCACAAUGGGCGAAAGCCUGAUGCAGCGACGCCGCGUGAGGGAUGACGGCCUUCGGGUUGUAAACCUCUUUCAGCACGGAAGAAGCGAAAGUGACGGUACGUGCAGAAGAAGCGCCGGCUAACUACGUGCCAGCAGCCGCGGUAAUACGUAGGGCGCAAGCGUUGUCCGGAAUUAUUGGGCGUAAAGAGCUCGUAGGCGGUUUGUCGCGUCUGCUGUGAAAGCCCGGGGCUUAACCCCGUGGUGUGCAGUGGGUACGGGCAGACUAGAGUGCAGUAGGGGAGACUGGAAUUCCUGGUGUAGCGGUGAAAUGCGCAGAUAUCAGGAGGAACACCGAUGGCGAAGGCAGGUCUCUGGGCUGUUACUGACGCUGAGGAGCGAAAGCAUGGGGAGCGAACAGGAUUAGAUACCCUGGUAGUCCAUGCCGUAAACGUUGGGCACUAGGUGUGGGGGACAUUCCACGUU
This 800-nucleotide ribosomal RNA is filed under the name Kocuria sp. JSM 2215079. Its description in RNAcentral is "bacterial SSU rRNA". It matches the Rfam family "Bacterial small subunit ribosomal RNA", at positions 35 to 838 of the family's 1533-position model. Lineage: Bacteria; Bacillati; Actinomycetota; Actinomycetes; Micrococcales; Micrococcaceae. The record is from RNAcentral.